RNAcentral lists this long non-coding RNA (220 nucleotides) under Vigna radiata. Its description in RNAcentral is "long non-coding RNA (VRAD_LNC010062)". Lineage: Eukaryota; Viridiplantae; Streptophyta; Magnoliopsida; Fabales; Fabaceae. The record is from RNAcentral.
CGUGAUUAAGGUUUCACUAAUCCAAAGCCCAUAACCAAAACUAUAAAUACAUGUCAAAGGUAAGAGGUAGACACUCUCAUUAAUUGUGCAUUUAUUACAACACUCAAAUUACCGAACGAAUCAUUACUAACUUUAACAUUAGAGAACCUUUGGCAAGUAUCCUCUCGGACGAGACUUAGACAAAUAGCGGAGGAACGGAUAAAACAAGACGACACUAGGA